GCCCUGUUAGCUCAGUGGGAGAGCAAGCGCCUGUCGAGCGCGAGGUCGCCGGUUCAAUCCCGGUACGGGGCGCCA
RNAcentral lists this transfer RNA (75 nucleotides) under Virgisporangium ochraceum. RNAcentral's name for it is "tRNA-Asp". It matches the Rfam family "tRNA". Rfam says of the family: Transfer RNA (tRNA) molecules are approximately 80 nucleotides in length. Their secondary structure includes four short double-helical elements and three loops (D, anti-codon, and T loops). Lineage: Bacteria; Bacillati; Actinomycetota; Actinomycetes; Micromonosporales; Micromonosporaceae. The record is from RNAcentral.